CCAGCUGAGACUCAUUGACUAAUUAUUCUCUUCCUACAGACUACCCCAGACAGCCAGAGAGGCUGGGAAAACUUUGUUUGUUUGUAUGAGUUGCUGUGCGAAGAGGAGACACCUCGACCAGUGCACCAAGCCGGGCAGGCCAGAGGCCAGUUCGAGUGGUCUUGUGUUUAUUGUGAAAUAUUGUGUAUGUGAGUAUGCUGAGAGCGUUGUCAUAGCUUACACUAAAAACAAAGUGCACUUUAAAGAGUUCAUCAAAGGCUGCCAAUGAGGUGGUUCCCUGGCAGGAGAUGAGCUUCUUGUCCAUCACAACGUAGUAAGAGCUGAUGGCGUGCUUGCAGGUUCCAGAAGUAAGAAGUAAGAUGUCCCUCCUGGUUCUCUAGAUGUUCUUCUAGACUCUUGCAUGACUGUGAGAAAAAUUACAUAUCGAGUUACAUCUUUAGUCUGUGCGACGUUUCCCACUUAAAUCACAUACUUUGGCCCAGUACAUAACUUGUGAAACACAACCAGAUGGUCCAUGGCUUGAGCUACGCUGAUCUUCUGUGUUUUCUUUUUAGUAGGCUGAGGUGGUAGGAUAUGCAGAAGCAGCAGGAAAGAUGCCAUAUGACACUCAUGAUCACUCUGAUGUAUGCCACUUCUCAAGACGUUUGGCAGCUGUUUCUGGUCCAAAGAAACAAGAGAAGCCUAAAGAAAAGGAUGCCAACACUUACCAGCCCUUCAGUGUCCAGCAACCUUGGAAACACUGAGAGUACGGUGUGUGAUUCAUCAGGAUUGUGGAUGAGGCGCUGUCUAUAGUCACAGGUUGUCUUCAUCUUCUGCCGGAUGAUUUCUCUGUUACUGGUGUGGUUCAUCAAGGAUAUGACCUCUUUACAAUGCUCUUCAUCCAACUGACCACCAAUCUGAGGCAGCUCCCUCUCCUGUCUUGGACCACCUUCUCCUGCUGUCUGCAUUUUCGGUUCCUUGGCCACAAGUUUUGUCUCUCUCUGAAUUAUCUUGAGCCGCCAUGCCAGAAAUCCAGAGCGACUUUGGCUGUUGUAAAAAUGUUCCUUACAGACAGAGAACAUAUACAUAAUUAAGCUCAACUUCAUAAUCAGCAAAUAGCAGGAGCCCCCUUGUAACAAUUGUUCAUAUUACAAAUAAAAGUCAGGCAUCAGAACAAUUCUAAAGCUAAGCACCUAGCUAAAACCUAUACAGUUACCUACACAUGCCUGCAAUAAAUCCUACCUUCCUGACAGUUCUAAUGUUCAGUUUUUGAGUUAUACUGAGAGGUGCACCUAACAUUUGACCCACCCCAUUUUUAUCAAUGAGGGUAGACUAAAUAUUAGAAACACCUCUCAGUAUAACAAUACAUUUCACAGUAGCACAAACUACAGCAUCUAAAAUGGCCAUAAAGUUGAAU
Long non-coding RNA from Siniperca chuatsi (mandarin fish), 1396 nucleotides. RefSeq lists it as uncharacterized. The transcript has 3 exons. The record is from RefSeq and is a predicted model, not a curated record. NCBI's taxonomy places the organism in Eukaryota, Metazoa, Chordata, Actinopteri, Centrarchiformes, Sinipercidae.